Molecule: ribosomal RNA, 444 nt
Filed under: uncultured Streptococcus sp.
Lineage: Bacteria; Bacillati; Bacillota; Bacilli; Lactobacillales; Streptococcaceae
Description: bacterial SSU rRNA
Rfam family: Bacterial small subunit ribosomal RNA
Source: RNAcentral
AGCAUGUGGUUUAAUUCGAAGCAACGCGAAGAACCUUACCAGGUCUUGACAUCCCGAUGCUAUUUCUAGAGAUAGAAAGUUACUUCGGUACAUCGGUGACAGGUGGUGCAUGGUUGUCGUCAGCUCGUGUCGUGAGAUGUUGGGUUAAGUCCCGCAACGAGCGCAACCCCUAUUGUUAGUUGCCAUCAUUCAGUUGGGCACUCUAGCGAGACUGCCGGUAAUAAACCGGAGGAAGGUGGGAUGACGUCAAAUCAUCAUGCCCCUUAUGACCUGGGCUACACACGUGCUACAAUGGUUGGUACAACGAGUUGCGAGUCGGUGACGGCGAGCUAAUCUCUUAAAGCCAAUCUCAGUUCGGAUUGUAGGCUGCAACUCGCCUACAUGAAGUCGGAAUCGCUAGUAAUCGCGGAUCAGCACGCCGCGGUGAAUACGUUCCCGGGCCUU